RNAcentral lists this ribosomal RNA (215 nucleotides) under Monoblastiales sp. RNAcentral describes it as "partial large subunit ribosomal RNA". The record is from RNAcentral. Lineage: Eukaryota; Fungi; Ascomycota; Dothideomycetes; Monoblastiales.
AAGCGCUUGCAACCAGACUUGAGCGCGGCGGUUCCCCCUUCCUUUUGGUUGGGUUAUUCCGCCGUGACCAGGCCAACAUCGGUUUUGGUGGUUGGUUAAAGGCUUCGGGAAUGUAUCUUUUGGUUACAAAAGACUUAUAGCCCGAGGUGUCAUGCAGCCUACCGGGACCGAGGAACGCGCUUCGGCGAGGAUGUUGGCGUAAUGGUUGUAAGCGA